RNAcentral lists this long non-coding RNA (208 nucleotides) under Sorghum bicolor (sorghum). Its description in RNAcentral is "long non-coding RNA (SBIC_LNC009548)". Lineage: Eukaryota; Viridiplantae; Streptophyta; Magnoliopsida; Poales; Poaceae. The record is from RNAcentral.
UGUGGGAGUGCUAUAAGUGCCGCAUGGCCAUAGGAUCUGGCAGGCGUUUAAUACUGUGAGGGGGGUCUUCCCCUCACUGGCUGAUUUUUUUACUAUAAAAAACUUAACCAUGGCUUGCAAUAGGCAUUAACUGAGGUAGUUUUUGCAACCGCCUCUAAGUAAAAGUCACUGUAAAUCAAUGGUUUACCAAGGAAAUUCAAAUGCCCGC